AGGUAUUAACUAAAUUUCGGCACAAAAUGUCAAAAUUAAUGCAGGAAAAUUAGUGAUUUCUUGUCAAAUUGCAGAAGAAUUACAAAAGGAGAAAAUAAGAGACAGACUUCAGUACUCUAAAAUCAAAGCAAAUAACAAAAGCAGCACGUUAACCACCAAGAAACAUAAAAUGAGCUUGAACAAUUUCUUCAUUCAAAUGUAAUGAAAAAAAAUGCCCAUACAAAAAAAAUCUGCAAAAGAAAGAUUGAAGCAG
This 253-nucleotide unclassified non-coding RNA is filed under the name Hevea brasiliensis (rubber tree). Lineage: Eukaryota; Viridiplantae; Streptophyta; Magnoliopsida; Malpighiales; Euphorbiaceae. The record is from RNAcentral.